CAAUGAUGUCAUAUUGGUCCUGGAGAAGAGCGCGCGGGAGACAAAUAAGGAAAAGAUAUUAAGCACAACAUGCUGAGGGAUACAAAACAUGUGUUAGCAUGUGGCUAAUGACUGGGAACGGCUUAGCGUUGGCUUCUAACCGUCUACCUUCCGUUAAAUUACGGGGGACCCGUGCUGCUGGAGAGGACGUCGUAUGUCAAAGGGACCAAGGGUCAUAAAACUCUCAGACAGGAAGUAGAUGAAGGUGCUGCAUUUGAUGCUGUAGUGUCCAGAAUCAAAUGUUUUAGAAGAGCAAUGGGAUGUGAAAACCUUUAGAGUCCUUUUCAUUCACCUCCUUAACACAUUCACAGGGAUGUCUGGAUUCAAAAUGAAUCUGAUGCCUUUUUUUUUGUUUUAUCAUGAGGUUGUGUUGUUUUCCCCUUUUGCUCAUUCAACCUAAAAAGGUUUAUGAAACCUUCAAGCUCGGACAAGUUUGUGAAGACUGACACGCGAUAUCAAAGCCAAUCUCCUCGCACCCCGCACACAAAGCGGUUCCUCUUAGUAUUAGCGGGGCCAGUCUGGCAGGGGCAUCGCCGACAAGUUGGGCCACGUUCCCCCUCUACCCUUUAGGCCCUUCAGUUAAAGCAAAGCAGACGAACCCAAAUGAAUGAGACAGUGUUUUAGUCCACUUACAGAACAAAACGAGGCCUGUAAUCCAUCACCAUUAGAGCACCUAACCAGCGAUCAAGGUUUAAUUCAGGGCCAUUAAUUAUGGAACAGGAAUCAAUACAGGCAACCUACAACUACAGCGUUUCUCACUUUCUGCUUCUGUUAGGAACACGUGCUGGAAACACAGCAGCUUCACAAAAUUAGGAAAGUCUUGUUCGAGUGGUUUGGUUCAGAGCGACUCGACUCGUCUGUUGUAACAAAAGACACACGGCUGUUAACAUCUGCUGCAUAUUAUUUGUGAACGGGGGAAGAUUAAUGAGCGAUAUGAAAGAGGGAAGUUGAGACAUGUUUAAAUACCAUUGAACGGCAACAUCGGCUUUUAACGACGUUCCCGCUCAGAACUGCUGCUUUAUGCUUUAACCUUGUACCAAAGCGAAUGGUUGGGCUCAAAUGCCUAAAUUUCUGAAGUCUUCAUGUAGAUUCAAAAGGGAGAAGGGGAGUUCAUGCAUCACAGCACUGAAAGUGAUGAUAGCACCUACUUGGAGGAGAGUGACCGCGAAGAGCACGAUGACAACGCUGAUAAUGAUCAAAGGCAGAUACCACCAGGAGAAGCCCAGCACGCUUUGAGCAGCUUCAUCUGCAAAACACACAGGAAAAUACCUGUUUGAUGCCAUGUUGCAUGUUUCCGCAGCAUAUGAAUAAAUGACUGUAAGUAAGUUUA
Betta splendens (Siamese fighting fish) is the source of this 1369-nucleotide long non-coding RNA. RefSeq lists it as uncharacterized. The record is from RefSeq and is a predicted model, not a curated record. NCBI's taxonomy places the organism in Eukaryota, Metazoa, Chordata, Actinopteri, Anabantiformes, Osphronemidae. The transcript is spliced from 2 exons.